This 253-nucleotide ribosomal RNA is filed under the name uncultured bacterium. RNAcentral describes it as "partial 16S ribosomal RNA". It matches the Rfam family "Bacterial small subunit ribosomal RNA", at positions 524 to 776 of the family's 1533-position model. The record is from RNAcentral.
UACGUAGGUGGCGAGCGUUGUCCGGAAUUACUGGGUGUAAAGCGCGCGUAGGCGGGAGGCCAAGUCCGCUGUGAAAUCGCCCGGCUCAACUGGGCGCGGUCGGUGGAAACUGGUCACCUGGAGGACGGUAGAGGCGAGUGGAAUUCCCGGUGUAGUGGUGAAAUGCGUAGAGAUCGGGAGGAACACCAGUGGCGAAGGCGGCUCUCUGGGACGGUACUGACGCUGAGACGCGAAAGCGUGGGGAGCGAACAGG